This 446-nucleotide ribosomal RNA is filed under the name uncultured bacterium. RNAcentral's name for it is "bacterial SSU rRNA". It matches the Rfam family "Bacterial small subunit ribosomal RNA", at positions 45 to 522 of the family's 1533-position model. The record is from RNAcentral.
UGGAUUAGGCAUGCAAGUCGUACGAACCUUCGGGUUAGUGGCGAACGGGUGAGUAACACGUGGGUAACCUGCCUCGUAGUGGGGAAUAACUCGCCGAAAGGCGAGCUAAUACCGCAUAACACCCCCGGUGAGAAUCCGGGUGGUAAAAGCUCCGGCGCUACGAGAGGGGCCCGCGGCCGAUUAGCUAGUUGGUGGGGUAAUGGCCUACCAAGGCGACGAUCGGUAGCUGGUCUGAGAGGAUGGUCAGCCACACGGGGACUGAGAUACGGCCCCGACUCCUACGGGAGGCAGCAGCUAAGAAUCUUGCGCAAUGGGCGAAAGCCUGACGCAGCAAUUCCGCGUGGGGGACGAAGGCCCUCGGGUCGUAAACCCCUUUUGCGAGGGAAGAAGUUCUGACGGUACCUCGCGAAUAAGACACGGCUAACUACGUGCCAGCAGCCGCGGUA